UACAGAGGUCUCAAGCGUUGUUCGGAUUCAUUGGGCGUAAAGGGUGCGUAGGCGGUGGGAGAAGUCCGAUGUGAAAUCCCGGGGCUCAACCCUGGAACUGCAUUGGAUACUCUUCUACUUGAGCACUGGAGAGGAGACUGGAAUUUACGGUGUAGCAGUGAAAUGCGUAGAGAUCGUAAGGAAGACCAGUGGCGAAGGCGAGUCUCUGGACAGUUGCUGACGCUGAGGCACGAAGGCCAGGGGAGCAAACGGG
RNAcentral lists this ribosomal RNA (253 nucleotides) under uncultured bacterium. RNAcentral describes it as "partial 16S ribosomal RNA". It matches the Rfam family "Bacterial small subunit ribosomal RNA", at positions 524 to 776 of the family's 1533-position model. The record is from RNAcentral.